CUACGGGAGGCAGCAGUGGGGAAUAUUGCACAAUGGGCGAAAGCCUGAUGCAGCGACGCCGCGUGAGGGAUGACGGCCUUCGGGUUGUAAACCUCUUUCAGUAGGGAAGAAGCGAAAGUGACGGUACCUGCAGAAGAAGCACCGGCUAACUACGUGCCAGCAGCCGCGGUAAUACGUAGGGUGCGAGCGUUAUCCGGAAUUAUUGGGCGUAAAGAGCUCGUAGGCGGUUUGUCGCGUCUGUCGUGAAAGUCCGGGGCUUAACCCCGGAUCUGCGGUGGGUACGGGCAGACUAUAGUGCAGUAGGGGAGACUGGAAUUCCGUGGUGUAGCGGUGGAAUGCCCA
This 342-nucleotide ribosomal RNA is filed under the name Microbacteriaceae bacterium M2_10_1BO2. RNAcentral describes it as "bacterial SSU rRNA". It matches the Rfam family "Bacterial small subunit ribosomal RNA", at positions 339 to 692 of the family's 1533-position model. Lineage: Bacteria; Bacillati; Actinomycetota; Actinomycetes; Micrococcales; Microbacteriaceae. The record is from RNAcentral.